RNAcentral lists this ribosomal RNA (541 nucleotides) under Penicillium commune. RNAcentral's name for it is "eukaryotic LSU rRNA". The stretch from base 161 to 313 matches the Rfam family "5.8S ribosomal RNA". The record is from RNAcentral. Lineage: Eukaryota; Fungi; Ascomycota; Eurotiomycetes; Eurotiales; Aspergillaceae.
UGGGUCCAACCUCCCACCCGUGUUUAUUUUACCUUGUUGCUUCGGCGGGCCCGCCUUAACUGGCCGCCGGGGGGCUUACGCCCCCGGGCCCGCGCCCGCCGAAGACACCCUCGAACUCUGUCUGAAGAUUGAAGUCUGAGUGAAAAUAUAAAUUAUUUAAAACUUUCAACAACGGAUCUCUUGGUUCCGGCAUCGAUGAAGAACGCAGCGAAAUGCGAUACGUAAUGUGAAUUGCAAAUUCAGUGAAUCAUCGAGUCUUUGAACGCACAUUGCGCCCCCUGGUAUUCCGGGGGGCAUGCCUGUCCGAGCGUCAUUGCUGCCCUCAAGCCCGGCUUGUGUGUUGGGCCCCGUCCCCCGAUCUCCGGGGGACGGGCCCGAAAGGCAGCGGCGGCACCGCGUCCGGUCCUCGAGCGUAUGGGGCUUUGUCACCCGCUCUGUAGGCCCGGCCGGCGCUUGCCGAUCAACCCAAAUUUUUAUCCAGGUUGACCUCGGAUCAGGUAGGGAUACCCGCUGAACUUAAGCAUAUCAAUAAGCGGAGGAA